Molecule: ribosomal RNA, 441 nt
Filed under: uncultured bacterium
Lineage: Bacteria
Description: partial 16S ribosomal RNA
Rfam family: Bacterial small subunit ribosomal RNA
Source: RNAcentral
CCUACGGGCGGCAGCAGUGGGGAAUAUUGCACAAUGGGGGAAACCCUGAUGCAGCGACGCCGCGUGAGUGAAGAAGUAUUUCGGUAUGUAAAGCUCUAUCAGCAGGGAAGAAGAAAACCGGUACCUACUUAAGAAGCCCCGGCUAACUACGUCCCAGCAGCCGCGGUAAUACGGCGGGGGCAAGCGUUAUCUGGUUUUCCUGGGUGGAAAGGGAGCGUAGACGGCUGUGCAAGGCAGAAGUGAAAGCCCAGGGCUCAACCCCGGGACUGCUUUGGAACUUGUGGAGCUAGAGUGCCGGAGAGGUAAGUGGAAGUCCUAGUGUAGCGGUGAAAUGCGUAGAUAUUAGGAGGAACACCAGUGGCGAAGGCGGCUUGCUGGACAGUAACUGACGUUGAGGCUCGAAAGCGUGGGGAGCAAACAGGAUUAGAUACCCCAGUAGUC